RNAcentral lists this ribosomal RNA (451 nucleotides) under uncultured bacterium. RNAcentral describes it as "partial 16S ribosomal RNA". It matches the Rfam family "Bacterial small subunit ribosomal RNA", at positions 29 to 523 of the family's 1533-position model. The record is from RNAcentral.
AACGAACGCUGGCAGCAGGCUUAACACAUGCAAGUCGAACGGGUGUAGCAAUACAUCAGUGGCAGACGGGUGAGUAACACGUGGGAACCUUCCUAGGGGUACGGAACAACUCAGGGAAACUUGAGCUAAUACCGUAUACGUCCGUGAGGAGAAAGAUUUAUCGCCCUUAGACGGGCCCGCGUCGGAUUAGCUAGUUGGUGGGGUAACGGCCUACCAAGGCGACGAUCCGUAGCUGAUCUUAGAGGAUGGUCAGCCACACUGGGACUGAGACACGGCCCAGACUCCUACGGGAGGCAGCAGUGGGGAAUCUUGGACAAUGGGCGCAAGCCUGAUCCAGCCAUGCCGCGUGAGUGAAGAAGGUCUUCGGAUUGUAAAGCUCUUUUGCCAGGGACGAUAAUGACGGUACCUGGAGAAUAAGCCCCGGCAAACUUCGUGCCAGCCGCCGCCGUAA